RNAcentral lists this long non-coding RNA (708 nucleotides) under Homo sapiens (human). RNAcentral's name for it is "non-protein coding ZNF460-AS1:21". Lineage: Eukaryota; Metazoa; Chordata; Mammalia; Primates; Hominidae. The record is from RNAcentral.
AACUCACCCAGCGCAUCCGACUGCACGGACAAUGCUGAGGAGACCCCCCUGACUCAAAGGAAAUAGACUGCAGCACUGAUUGGAUGACUUUGGAAUGAAAAAAAGUAGUUUUCCUUUACAAUGAGGCUUGGCCCCCAGGGCGAUGGUGCCACAAGCCAGAUCACUGGGACCACUCAGAGAAAGGGAACACAGAAGCCUGGCAUGCCAGCAAAAAGCAGGGUUUUUGUGAGCAGUGUCUUGCACCAAACUCCUGUCUCCUCCUGUGACUUAGAAUGCCUAACUUCCUGGGAAUGCAGCACAGGUCUCAGCCUCAUUUUGCCCAGCCCCUAUUCAAGACGGAUUUGCUGUGGUUCAAAUGCUUCUGACAAUAUUCCUCAUGGUGAAUGCUGGAUUUUGCAUGCCCGAGGCCCUGGGCCACACUGUAUGUUUGCUUUUUGCAAGGGCUGUAUGGCUAUGACUAGUUAUGUGGACCCUGCAUUCCUAUGUAAAUGACCCUCCAUAAAAACCCCAGAAAUGAAUGCUUGAGUGAACUUCCCUGGCUUGUAUUAUAAUACUGUGAACAUCUUGUCACACAUCUUUGCUGGGGGAAUUAAGUGUGUCCCUAUGUGACCGUAAUGGGAGAUAACACCCAGAGUUUUGUGCCUGCUUUCAUGUGGACUUCAUUCUAUGUGAUUUUUCCCUUUGGUGAUCCUGGUCUAUAUCCUUUUA